RNAcentral lists this unclassified non-coding RNA (151 nucleotides) under uncultured Sordariales. Its description in RNAcentral is "sequence contains ITS2". The record is from RNAcentral. Lineage: Eukaryota; Fungi; Ascomycota; Sordariomycetes; Sordariales.
CAACCCUCAAGCUUUGCUUGGUGUUGGGGUCCUACGCCUCGCGCGUAGGCCCUUAAGACUAGUGGCGGACCUUUUGUGAUCCCGAGCGUAGUAAUUAUUACCGCUUUGGAGAGCUGGAGGGACCCAGCCGUUAAACCCCAUAUUCUCAAGG